GACGAACGCUGGCGGCGUGCUUAACACAUGCAAGUCGAGCGGUAAGGCUCCUUCGGGAGUACACGAGCGGCGAACGGGUGAGUAACACGUGAGCAAUCUGCCCUUCACUUCGGGAUAACUCCGGGAAACCGGUGCUAAUACCGAAUACGACCACUUCAGGCAUCUGAUGGUGGUGGAAAGUUCCGGCGGUGAAGGAUGAGCUCGCGGCCUAUCAGCUUGUUGGUGGGGUAANGGCCCACCAAGGCAACGACGGGUAGCCGGCCUGAGAGGGUGACCGGCCACACUGGGACUGAGACACGGGCCCAGACUCCUACGGGAGGCAGCAGUGGGGAAUAUUGGACAAUGGGCGAAAGCCUGAUCCAGCAACGCCGCGUGAGGGAUGACGGCC
Molecule: ribosomal RNA, 388 nt
Filed under: uncultured bacterium
Lineage: Bacteria
Description: bacterial SSU rRNA
Rfam family: Bacterial small subunit ribosomal RNA
Source: RNAcentral